Peromyscus leucopus (white-footed mouse) is the source of this 1199-nucleotide long non-coding RNA. RefSeq lists it as uncharacterized. The record is from RefSeq and is a predicted model, not a curated record. NCBI's taxonomy places the organism in Eukaryota, Metazoa, Chordata, Mammalia, Rodentia, Cricetidae. The transcript has 3 exons.
UCCACAUAUGCAUGUGUACAUGCACCCACUCCCUCACAUGCACCAACACACACACACACACACAGAGUGUUUAACAUCAAAACAUCCCAAGCCUUUCCAGGAAAUCUGAAUUUCAAAUGCUCACAUCAAGAUGGCUCUCUGAUCAACACCCGCUACCCCAUCUACCGACCCCCUCCCCGCAUCCGGAUCCUUCCUAGGGAGCAGGAUGCAGAAAUAGCCACUGUUGUACUGAUCAACCUGUGCCAGCAGGCAUGCUCAUGUCUUUAUCCUCAUGGAAUCAUAUCUGUUUUACCCAUGAGGCAACCAGGGCUCACUGUUUCACUUAAUAGCCAAGGUUAGACCACUGCUUGUGCUGGGCAUGGGACAGAAUCUGACUCUCAGGCUCAUGAUCUUGGAACUACCCCAGCUAUUUUCAAGCUGUUCGGAAGCUGCCUCCAGGCAGGACCCAGGUGGCUGGGGUUUCCUGUUUCCACACACUGGAGCUAAAAUAGCCACACAUAUGUCUGUUUUGGGUGUUGGGGUUUCGGGAGUUAAAAAUACGUUCGAGAAGCGUGCAUUGUGUUGUGCUAGCCUGCUCCUGCUUUGGACUUUCUACAAACCAAAAAAAAAAAAAAAAAAAAAAAAAAAAAAAUCCUUUUUCUGGUCGCCAUCCAUCUCCUCCACCCCAGGCCCCAGCGGAAAGGAGCCCUUCUAAGAGGACUGUGAGAGGGGACCCGUCGCCAGCUCGCUCGCCAUGUUUAGGGCUCCUUAAGCUGCCUUGCUCCUGCUCUUCACCUGCAUCUCAGGGCCCACCCCACCCCACCUCUGCUCUGUGUGGGGUGAGGAAGGCAGGUUUCUGCAAGGGCUGGGAAAUUGAAGUCUGUCUGGAGAUAAGAGAGCCAACCCUGGGUUCUCAGAAGCAAGGAGUUAGCGCUCAAUGUGGACACUGAGAGACUGAAAUACUGGAAGAGUGCCUGGGAAGAUGGCUCCGUCCAGAGGCCCUGAAUUCAGAUCCUGGUUCCCACAUAAGGAGCUGGGGCAGCCCAUCUGUCAUCCCGGGCUGCAGGCAAGAGAAGAGUUCUCGGGACUUGCUGGCCAGUCUGCAGAAUCUGCGUGCUCCAGGACAGUGAAAGACAGUUUUGAGGGCCGGCAGGAUGGUUCAAUGGGUAAAGGCACCUGCUGCCAAGCCUGAGGACCUGAGUUCGAUGACCGGAACUGAC